UGAGCUUGAUCCCUGGCUCAGGAUGAACGCUGGCGGCGUGCUUAACACAUGCAAGUCGAACGAUGAUCCCAGCUUGCUGGGGGAUUAGUGGCGAACGGGUGAGUAACACGUGAGUAACCUGCCCUUAACUCUGGGAUAAGCCUGGGAAACUGGGUCUAAUACCGGAUAUGACUCCUCAUCGCAUGGUGGGGGGUGGAAAGCUUUAUUGUGGUUUUGGAUGGACUCGCGGCCUAUCAGCUUGUUGGUGAGGUAAUGGCUCACCAAGGCGACGACGGGUAGCCGGCCUGAGAGGGUGACCGGCCACACUGGGACUGAGACACGGCCCAGACUCCUACGGGAGGCAGCAGUGGGGAAUAUUGCACAAUGGGCGAAAGCCUGAUGCAGCGACGCCGCGUGAGGGAUGACGGCCUUCGGGUUGUAAACCUCUUUCAGUAGGGAAGAAGCGAAAGUGACGGUACCUGCAGAAGAAGCGCCG
RNAcentral lists this ribosomal RNA (475 nucleotides) under Micrococcineae bacterium CL2.89. RNAcentral describes it as "bacterial SSU rRNA". It matches the Rfam family "Bacterial small subunit ribosomal RNA", at positions 1 to 495 of the family's 1533-position model. The record is from RNAcentral. Lineage: Bacteria; Bacillati; Actinomycetota; Actinomycetes; Micrococcales.